AUGUAUCGUUUCCGAUCACAGCUCUUCACGGGGAUCUCUGCUGCCGCCACUGCCCACUCUUAUCCUCGCCGCUUCUCGCCUCUGUUGUUAACCGAAGACUCGUCUCUCAGCCGGCCGCCGCACAGACGCACAAGUAAAAAGUGCAGCUCCAUCGGCUGA
Molecule: long non-coding RNA, 159 nt
Organism: Nycticebus coucang (slow loris)
Lineage: Eukaryota; Metazoa; Chordata; Mammalia; Primates; Lorisidae
Exons: 1
Source: RefSeq, a predicted model, not a curated record